This 1740-nucleotide ribosomal RNA is filed under the name Salmonella enterica subsp. enterica serovar Agona str. 400100 6-5. RNAcentral's name for it is "partial 23S ribosomal RNA". It matches the Rfam family "Bacterial large subunit ribosomal RNA", at positions 1220 to 2925 of the family's 2925-position model. RNAcentral also lists the same sequence under 1 other name. The record is from RNAcentral. Lineage: Bacteria; Pseudomonadati; Pseudomonadota; Gammaproteobacteria; Enterobacterales; Enterobacteriaceae.
GUUGUUGGGUAGGGGAGCGUUCUGUAAGCCUGCGAAGGUGGCCUGUGAGGGUUGCUGGAGGUAUCAGAAGUGCGAAUGCUGACAUAAGUAACGAUAAAGCGGGUGAAAAGCCCGCUCGCCGGAAGACCAAGGGUUCCUGUCCAACGUUAAUCGGGGCAGGGUGAGUCGACCCCUAAGGCGAGGCCGAAAGGCGUAGUCGAUGGGAAACGGGUUAAUAUUCCCGUACUUGGUGUUACUGCGAAGGGGGGACGGAGAAGGCUAUGUUGGCCGGGCGACGGUUGUCCCGGUUUAAGCGUGUAGGUGUGUGUUCCAGGUAAAUCCGGUUCACUUUAACACUGAGGCGUGACGACGAGGCACUACGGUGCUGAAGCAACAAAUGCCCUGCUUCCAGGAAAAGCCUCUAAGCAUCAGGUAACAUCAAAUCGUACCCCAAACCGACACAGGUGGUCAGGUAGAGAAUACCAAGGCGCUUGAGAGAACUCGGGUGAAGGAACUAGGCAAAAUGGUGCCGUAACUUCGGGAGAAGGCACGCUGACACGUAGGUGAAGUGAUUUACUCAUGGAGCUGAAGUCAGUCGAAGAUACCAGCUGGCUGCAACUGUUUAUUAAAAACACAGCACUGUGCAAACACGAAAGUGGACGUAUACGGUGUGACGCCUGCCCGGUGCCGGAAGGUUAAUUGAUGGGGUCAGCGCAAGCGAAGCUCCUGAUCGAAGCCCCGGUAAACGGCGGCCGUAACUAUAACGGUCCUAAGGUAGCGAAAUUCCUUGUCGGGUAAGUUCCGACCUGCACGAAUGGCGUAAUGAUGGCCAGGCUGUCUCCACCCGAGACUCAGUGAAAUUGAACUCGCUGUGAAGAUGCAGUGUACCCGCGGCAAGACGGAAAGACCCCGUGAACCUUUACUAUAGCUUGACACUGAACAUUGAGCCUUGAUGUGUAGGAUAGGUGGGAGGCUUUGAAGUGUGGACGCCAGUCUGCAUGGAGCCGACCUUGAAAUACCACCCUUUAAUGUUUGAUGUUCUAACGUGGACCCGUAAUCCGGGUUGCGGACAGUGUCUGGUGGGUAGUUUGACUGGGGCGGUCUCCUCCUAAAGAGUAACGGAGGAGCACGAAGGUUGGCUAAUCCUGGUCGGACAUCAGGAGGUUAGUGCAAUGGCAUAAGCCAGCUUGACUGCGAGCGUGACGGCGCGAGCAGGUGCGAAAGCAGGUCAUAGUGAUCCGGUGGUUCUGAAUGGAAGGGCCAUCGCUCAACGGAUAAAAGGUACUCCGGGGAUAACAGGCUGAUACCGCCCAAGAGUUCAUAUCGACGGCGGUGUUUGGCACCUCGAUGUCGGCUCAUCACAUCCUGGGGCUGAAGUAGGUCCCAAGGGUAUGGCUGUUCGCCAUUUAAAGUGGUACGCGAGCUGGGUUUAGAACGUCGUGAGACAGUUCGGUCCCUAUCUGCCGUGGGCGCUGGAGAACUGAGGGGGGCUGCUCCUAGUACGAGAGGACCGGAGUGGACGCAUCACUGGUGUUCGGGUUGUCAUGCCAAUGGCACUGCCCGGUAGCUAAAUGCGGAAGAGAUAAGUGCUGAAAGCAUCUAAGCACGAAACUUGCCCCGAGAUGAGUUCUCCCUGAGACUUAGAGUCUCCUGAAGGAACGUUGAAGACGACGACGUUGAUAGGCCGGGUGUGUAAGCGCAGCGAUGCGUUGAGCUAACCGGUACUAAUGAACCGUGAGGCUUAACCUUACAACGCCGAAG